CAAUAGCGUAUAUUAUAGUUGUUGCAGUUAAAAAGCUCGUAGUUGGACUUCUGGGCUUGUGUUGUGGUCCGCCUCACGGUGAGCACUGCGACAUGGGUCCUUCUUCUUGAAGACUGUGCGUGUCCUUAACUGGGUGUGUACAGGAUUUGAGACCUUUACUUUGAAAAAAUUAGAGUGUUCAAAGCAGGCCUUCGCUUGAAUACAUUAGCAUGGAAUAAUGGAAUAGGACUUCUGUUCUAUUUUGUUUGGUUUCUUAGGACUGAAGUAAUGAUUAAUAGGGAUAGUUGGGGGCGAUUAGUAUUUAAUUUAGUUCAGAGGUGAAAUUACUUGGAUUUAUUG
RNAcentral lists this ribosomal RNA (339 nucleotides) under uncultured eukaryote. RNAcentral's name for it is "bacterial SSU rRNA". It matches the Rfam family "Eukaryotic small subunit ribosomal RNA", at positions 592 to 931 of the family's 1831-position model. The record is from RNAcentral.